AUGGCUUUGAACGAUCUUCAGGACUUCUGGACUGAACACAGCAGAGACCCAACAUGUCUGAAGUUUCUGAGUCCCACUGUAAGGCUCACAGGACUGUUCCUCUUCCCCAGACACACUGGAGCUCACAUGCAGGUUCAUGAGGCGUCGUCUGCACAGGUGAGACCCUGUGUAAACCAGCAAGGACUUUCCUUCUGUUCCUUGCACUUUCAUUUCCAGGGGAAAUAAAGCCAGGCCCACACAGGCUGCAAGAGAAAGUGGCCUCCAACAUUGUCUCUCCUUGAUUACUGAUCUGGAUAAUCACAACCCUGUGACACACUAAAGUAUACAGGCAGCCUGGAAAAAAAAAAAAAAAAAAAAGUGGUUAUCUGAAUUUGGAUUUUGAGCUUACAUUUGCUUUCCAAUAAGGACUCCUUGAGAGGCUCUAACUAGC
Molecule: long non-coding RNA, 430 nt
Filed under: Anser cygnoides (Swan goose)
Lineage: Eukaryota; Metazoa; Chordata; Aves; Anseriformes; Anatidae
Description: lncRNA (ENSACDG00005008000.1)
Source: RNAcentral